UACGGAGGGUGCAAGCGUUGCUCGGAAUUAUUGGGCGUAAAGGGGAGGUAGGUGGUCUCAUUUGUCUGGGGUGAAAGCCUCGAGCUUAACUCGAGAAGUGCCCUAGAAACGGUGAGACUGGAGUCCUGGAGAGGCUAGUGGAAUUCCCGGUGUAGCGGUGAAAUGCGUAGAGAUCGGGAGGAACACCAGAGGCGAAGGCGGCUAGCUGGACAGGUACUGACACUCAACUCCGAGAGCGUGGGGAGCAAACAGG
RNAcentral lists this ribosomal RNA (253 nucleotides) under uncultured prokaryote. RNAcentral describes it as "partial 16S ribosomal RNA". It matches the Rfam family "Bacterial small subunit ribosomal RNA", at positions 524 to 776 of the family's 1533-position model. The record is from RNAcentral.